RNAcentral lists this long non-coding RNA (1450 nucleotides) under Stegodyphus dumicola. Its description in RNAcentral is "uncharacterized LOC118188212". The record is from RNAcentral. Lineage: Eukaryota; Metazoa; Arthropoda; Arachnida; Araneae; Eresidae.
UUUUGUGAACUGAAAUCUGUUAGGCUUUCCAAAAUCCAGAAAGCUGAUUAGGUGUGCAGAAGCAGCAGACUUGUAAAUGUGAAGGAGCUAUUUGCUUAGUUAUGCAGUAGAAUUCACCACCCUGCGGCAAGCUUCAUUAAAGCUGUGAACAGCCAAGCUAACCAUCUUCAGGGCAAGUGGCUGCAUCAAGCAAACCCAGUGACAUUCCAAAGAGGAAUGUCAGUCAAAAUAAAAACUUAAUACCUAAAUCUCGGAAAAUCAGACAAUUAAGCCACAAAUCUUGUGACCAAUUUUUCAGUUGCUGUGCUUAGUGCGAUAAAGUUAUAUGGCAAUAAACUGAAAAGCUAUGGCAGGUAUUCUAUUGUACCCUUUAAUGAAAUCAAUUUAAAGCAAGCUUAUCAUAUGAUAAGCAAAAUGAUUGUAUCAUUGGAUGGUAAUGAUUGCAUUGCUGGGUAUGCAGGCUAUGGUUCUACAAUGAGCCAAAUGUAAUAUCUCAGUAUGCUGUGACUAUUAAAAUUAUAAAUUAUGUAUUAUUACUUCAUAUUGGUCAUUAUGUUCCAAAAUAAAUGCUCUUUUUAUAUAGAACUAUAUAAAUGUAGAAAAUCUGAGAAGUUAAUUUUAUAUGGAAAGCCUUCGUGCAAAAUUAAUAGCAUCUUGUUAAUUUCAUAUAUGUUUUGUGAAAGUAAUUGCUGCUGAAUCUAGAAUUAAUGCAUUAUCUGAGAUUUGAGACAAAAUUUGUCAAAUUAGAAGAUAGUGAAAUAGAUAAAUAGGAAAUGAAACAUGAAAUUUAUAUAUUUAAUAUUGAAAUAAAUAUCUCAGUAAAGUGGCUGUAUGUAAAGUAUAAUGAUGCAAUUUUUAUAAUUUUUUACUAAAAUGCUAAAAUUAUGUGCUAUGAAAAUUUUAUUUUCAUUAAUAUUUAUAAUUUUUUCCUCGCAAAUUUUUAUCCAAGGUGUAUAUGUUUUAGCUAUUUUAGAUUUUUCUGUUUUAAUGUUAAAAAUAUCUUCUUUAUCAGCAUUACAUUAAAAUCCAUCUCAUAAUCAUUUGAAAAUGAAGGAAAUUUCAUUCUUUUCAAUAGUUUAAGAAUAUUUUCAUAAAACAUAAUUAUAGAAAAAAUGAACUGAUACAUUUUUAGUUAUAUAUAUGUAAAGAAAAUUUUUUAGAAGGAUCCUUUUUUCCAUACCAGAAACAUUUCAUGAGCUGUAAUAUGUAAUAUUAGUUGGCCUAAUAUGUAAAAGGAAUGUUUAAUCAAAUUAUUUUUAUUAUGCUUUUAUAAAUAUCACUAUAAUUUUAAGAGUUAUUGAAUUUAAAAGUGAAAGAAAAAGCUACAGUUAUUUCAAGACUCUUUAAUAAAACAAUUCUUUAUUCUUGUAUUCUCGUAUGAAAAUUUUCUGUAUAUUUAACAUAAAAUUGUAUGCAUGUAAAUAAAUUUUUUAAUUUAUUAUUAUCAUUC